AGAGUCGUCUGGGUUACCGCGUCGGAGUUAGCUCGCUAAUUGCGCCGAGGAAAGUCCGGACUCCACAGGGCAAGGUGGUGGGUAACGCCCACUCGGGGUGACCCGCAGGAAAGUGCAACAGAGAGUAGACCGCCAAGCAAUUGGUAAGGGUGA
RNAcentral lists this RNase P RNA (153 nucleotides) under Actinomycetota bacterium. RNAcentral describes it as "Actinobacteria bacterium partial RNase P RNA component class A". It matches the Rfam family "Bacterial RNase P class A", at positions 1 to 157 of the family's 367-position model. From Rfam's summary of the family: Ribonuclease P (RNase P) is a ubiquitous endoribonuclease, found in archaea, bacteria and eukarya as well as chloroplasts and mitochondria. Its best characterised activity is the generation of mature 5'-ends of tRNAs by cleaving the 5'-leader elements of precursor-tRNAs. Cellular RNase Ps are ribonucleoproteins. Lineage: Bacteria; Bacillati; Actinomycetota. The record is from RNAcentral.